This is a long non-coding RNA of Cephus cinctus (wheat stem sawfly), 3863 nucleotides long. RefSeq lists it as uncharacterized. The record is from RefSeq and is a predicted model, not a curated record. The transcript has 4 exons. NCBI's taxonomy places the organism in Eukaryota, Metazoa, Arthropoda, Insecta, Hymenoptera, Cephidae.
ACUGUCGACCAAUCGAACUGCUUCCCUCGUUACUCAGAGUGCAAUAGUGUAUCGUGUGAUAAUUAUUAGUGAAUUGUAAAACGUGAAAUAAAGACGAACACGUUAUCAGUGUUAAAACGAACCAGUUUGUAGUUUCGUGUUUGCAAUGCGAGGUACACCCCUCCCAUUUUCUUUCGAUGGAGUCUCAUCAGGCGCGCCCACGCGUAGAAUACUUGUCACGUAUCUUAAACGGGAUUCAAUCGGAGUAUAAGGGAUACAGGGAUUAACCAGGAACCCUUAACAAGAACGGAUAAAGAUCCGAUUACACCGACAGUACCUUCUUACUAAUUGUGGAAUCCAACACCUUGCCCAACACCCUUACACUUAUGGGGUUGAAAAUGGAUUCAGAUUUCUUCGUUACCCUUGCCGUAUCGCAGGGGUGGAAUUUCCUCGUUACUUUUCUUUCUCUUCUAUUAAGUAUCUGUCGCAGCGAAGAUUCAAGAUCGCACUGACUGACUCUAAGUAUAAGGGUAGCGAAGGCGACACCCCCCACGGCGUCGCGACGCCAAACAUUCGUGACUGGCUGCAGCCUAGCGCUUUCUCAGUUCUGGCCAGACGGGCGAGUUGUAGAAAAGUCGUCACAUGGGGAUGGGUUUUAGACGAAUAGGGGUUGCAGGGAAUGGCUAUAUGUCUCUUCGUGGAAAACACCUAGCAGUCACAGAGCUGCUUGCUGGUUCAUUGCGUAGCUAUUGAUCGGUUCCGUAAAAACGGUGUCAGACCUGGAGAUCACUUCCCGUUCGAUGCUAUGCUAACUAACUAUAGUAUAUAAUGAAUCGCCAACGAGCCAACCCCUCUAGCACUAGCAUUCUACAGGAGCUUGUCUAUGGCAUUGGCUAGUGACGCCGGAAAUUAUUGGGGCGGAAUUUCCGAUAACUUUUGACACGGUUCACCCCCUGAUCGUUUUAUGGUUAAUCGAUGCGGCGCACCUGUUUUUGUUUCCGCCGUCUUUUAUAAACUUUUUAAAAAAUUCGAAGCUUUAAUCGCCCUCGAUUAUAUAAGAAUUUAUACAGCGCAUCAGCAGCGAUUUUUAUUAUACGUGUGUAAUUUUCAUUGUUAUUUAGAGGCUCGUAAAUUUGCGUUGAUUACUGUACUGAGUUAAUUAUAGACAAACGUAGGACGAAUGAAUUCUUAAUUAAAUAGCAAAUUUUAUCUUAUUUAUACAGACAAUAUUAUUUGGUGAUACGUUAUGUUAAUUAAAGUUAACGGGGCGGUAACGUUUUCCCAGGAACCAAGAGUUGGAUGCUGGCGUUGUUAGUCGUUUGGAAUUAAUUAGAACAAGUUAAUCAGACCAUGCAAAUCUGAAUUAAUUUUUUCAAUAACUUUACAGCCAAUAGUCGAUCAGUGUUUGUGUUUUUUUUUUUUGGGAUUACAGUAAAUAAAUAUAUGCGAAAUUAACUAGCGUCGAUCGAUAAGCUUACGCGUCGCGACGCUGGCACGAAACGUCACCUACGCACGGCUUUCACGCACGUCAUAGUAUUCACCUACUUAUAUAUAGAACAUGUACCCAGAAAAAAAGGUAGAAAAGAGAUUUUUCGACAGGAUGAAAAAAAAUCUGUUUAAGGGUGCAACAUUAUAUUGUGGAAUGUGAAAUUUUGUAAAUCCAACUGGAGAAUUAUCGAUCGCCUGUGCCGUAAGAGGAUGAUUUUAUUUUUUAUGAAAUUUUAUGAUGCAAUUUUUAAUGUUUACAUACUCGAAUCGAGAUAACUUCUAUAAAAGUCUAUAUUUAUCUUACCAAAACGUAAGUAGUGCAAACUCGUGGAGCUCCACCAUGUUGCCUCUAGCGUAACUUUUAAUCGACUGAUUAUUUUUUUAAGCUCGCCUGGAUCUUACGUCAAGGUGGAGUCGACGAGUCGAUGUCGUGCACCAGGGUUGGAAAGAACCUACAGAAGCUACAAAGCCUACGUUGAGGAUAACUUCGACGGGAAAUAAUGUAAUGACGAACUUAUGGAAACUAACAGGGACAACGAGUGUGACUUGAUUGACUAUUGAUUUUAGUUACCAAUAUGUCUCAUGGCAAUAUCCACAGACGUCUGUUGGAGUGAAUCGUGCCUGAGGGAAAAGGAUUCUUAAAAGAAUUUCAUAGGCGAGAAAAGUGCAUGUUAAAUAUUGAAUAAACGCAAAGACGUGACAGUCGCUCGAAAACGUUUCUGAAACACUCCGCCAGGUCGCGUUGAGGGUGAAAAUGUCUGUAGUGGUUGGAGGUGGGUAUUGAAAAUGGUAAAGGAGUAGACGAAUAUCGUUUAAGUUCUUCAAUCCCAGUGUGGGUUUUCCUUCUUGUGAUUUCUCCGUGUCUGCCAUCCUUUUUUUUUUUAAUAGAUCAACCCCUUUGACAGUACUAAGAAAACCGAUGUACACUGCCGUCGGAAAGUUUCCAGCCAAGGUGGGAAAAAGUAAAACUCAUAAGCGUUUGAGGUAUGUUUUGGGUCGUACUGAGCGCUGAGGAGCGGGGAUGUGCACGUUGUUCUGUAGAAAAAUCUUAAAUACGAUUUAGUUUAAUGCUGACCGAGAAACAGGGUUCGAGUGCAUUUGUGGGCCUUGCCCGAAAACUUUUCGACAGUAGUGUAUGUCUAAGGAAUCAUAUUUAUGCUCUGCGGCAUUUCGGGGCGGACUUUUUUUUUGGGAAAGAUAUUUUGUUUUCAGUUUAUGGUAAAAGAGCCAAGAUGUUUGGCAAUGCUGUUGUGCAUUAGUUUGUAUUCUUAAAAUUUACAUAAUCUUACUUAUGUAUUUUUGUAUUUUCUUUCAAUUGUGUUAUGUGUAUGUUUGGGGAUUUGUUUUUGGAAUUGAUACAUUGAAAUUAUUUGAGGAUUUUACAGAUAUCUUGAGAGUUGUAAUGAUCAUGUGGAUGUAACGAUUAGUUCUGGAAUUUUGAGUAAUCUUUUUGUGGAUUUUCUAAUGAAAUAAAUAUACGGUUGUUGGGUUCUUUGAAAAUUUUCUGGUAUCUAUUUUAGGAUUCCAAGGAAACAUGUUUCCCCGAUCGAAUUUUUAGACAGGUUGUGAUGUACGGUUGCUCGUAUAAAGUAAGGUAAAAGUUUCACGCGAACGCUAUAAAUCAUGACGCGAGAUAAACUGGUUAUAACGUUUCAACGGUAUAGCUAUUGUUUGUAUAAUUAUUGGGAUUUUUAGUGCUGCGUGAGAAUUCGGCUUGUUCAAAGAGACUGGGGACCUCGAAUGGCAAUGCAGAAUUUUGAGUUGUGAAAAUAGUAAUUAAGAAUUUUGCAGGUAUUUUUUCUUAUUCAAUUUAAAGAAUCGUUUUGAUACCGUUGUAGCAAAGAUUAAUGAAAAAUUGGAAGAGAUAUCUGGCCGGGAAAUUGAGAUAUAGAUCUUGAGAAACGUGACAGUCUGAUUUAUAAAGAUUGGAAAAUAUAAAAUUUUGGCGGUGAAGUUUUAUUUUUUUCAUAAACCUACUACUUAGUGUCUGUAACGGUUCUAUUUAUUGAUCAAAUAAUGAUGUUACCUCGAAUUUUCUGUACUGCCGGUAAACGAGUUUUCUGGGAAAGCUGCAGUCGGUAAGUCAGAACUGAAAACUACAUUACCUACUAAAGCUCGCAAGCUCACAGUAACUUUAUCGUCUUUGUUGACGAAUGAUUGGUCCUUGCAAGCUCAGUAGGUAUUUAAUAUUUUUUCCGAAUCGUAAAUUGUACAAGUUUUUUUUUUUUCUAUAUCGACUGUACAGUUAAUGCCACUGAUAAAACAGCUCGCUGAUGAAGCUGUACAUCAUUUUAAAUCUACGGCGAAAUUUCUCAUUUGCACAACUAAGGAAAUUAAUCAUCAAGACAAAGCUGUAUAAAAAUAUAUAUUUAACGAUAAUCCCAAAAAAAAUAAUG